This is a long non-coding RNA of Parus major (Great Tit), 1811 nucleotides long. RefSeq lists it as uncharacterized. The transcript has 3 exons. NCBI's taxonomy places the organism in Eukaryota, Metazoa, Chordata, Aves, Passeriformes, Paridae. The record is from RefSeq and is a predicted model, not a curated record.
GGCUAUAAAAGGGGGAAUGGCCCGGCAGCCGCGCUCGGAGCAUCCCCGGCAGCGGCGGAGCCUCUCCCGCUGCCCAUCCCGGGCUCCUGCCCGCAGCAAUUCCCCCCGGGAGAUGGGAGGGAGCCGUAUCCAGAGCCCCCCGAGCGCGCUGAGGCUCGGGAGGAGGAGGAUGAGGAGGAUGAGGAGGAUGAGGAAGAUGCCGCUGGGCGCACCCGGAGAGCCGCAGCCCCGGCGGGGUCCGGAGGUGGAGGUUUUGCCAUUCCUGGAGGGAAGGAAUUCCAUCGGGAGCUGCUGGAAUCUCCUCGUGCCGGCGCUGAGGACACCGGGCCGUGCCCAGGGCUGGCACUCGUCCCCUCGGCCAGGGAACGGCUCCCAAGGCAGGAUUUAUCCCUGGAUGUCUCCUCUGCACCGGAACCCCGAGCCCUGAGCCUCGGCUGGGAUUUGGACGCUCUGGGAACGGCACGGCCGGGAGGCUGCAGGCACCUGCUCCUCCCAAAUCCCGCGGAUUUACCGCUCCUGGCACCUUCCUGCUGCCACUGGCUCCAUCCCAGGGAAUCUCCCGAGGGACAGAAGUGGGAAAGCAGCACUUAGAGGUUACAAUUCCUUCUUUUUCUGCGCUGCUCCUGAAUCCUGGCUCUGGAGGAGGAAGGAUCCCAUGCACUCCUGGAGGACAAAUCCUGCUGCUCCCAGGGCCCGUGCUGAAGGCUCGGGGUGAGGGACAGAGGGGACAGCCAGGACAUGCAGGAGCAGCUCCCGAGGCUGCAGCUGGAGCUCAGGGACAGCGAUGGAACCUCAGGGCUGGGAGAGGUUCUUCCCUCGCCUCCAGCCCCAGCUCCACACCCGGAACCUGCCCGGGCUCCAUCCCCUCCCCGUGAGGAGGAUCCCACCAGGAGCUCAGCUCCUGCCACACGGAACUGACAGGAAAAAACUCCAUUUUCUGCUGGCCUUUGGGAAUUGUCCUCUUGGAUCCUGGUGAUGGAUGGAUGGAUGGAUGGAUGGUGAAGAGCUCCUGGCUCAAGCAGCAGCUCAGUGCUUUCCUCUGGCAAGGACCGAGCGCUUGCCCAGUUUCCAGUGGAAUUUUUUGGUCUUUAUUUUUACCCCUCUGCUUUUUUUUUUUUUAAAUUUUUGCUGUUUUUUGGGGGUUUGGGUGUUUCCUGUGGAUACUGGAGCUGCGGUGGAUCCCGUGGUGGGAACUGGAGCCUUUGGAAGAGCAGGAGCUGAGCUGGUGCUGGGCUUUCCAGCACCCUGAGCUGGGUGGCCUCGGGAGGGUCCUUCUGCCACACCUGGAGCAUCCCAGUGGAUCCCAGUCCAGGUGGGAGCGGGAAGCAGGCGCAGGAACGGGGAAAAAGCCGAACCUCAGCGAGGGGAUUGUCCCAAUGAGGGCAAAGUCAUCCCCAGAGACAAUUAAAUUACAUUUAAUAAACCCCUCUGGCUCCGUGAGUGCUGGAUGUUGUUUUCCAUUUGCCACAUUUCCAGGGGAUUUUGGGGAUGCCUUGGAUUGUCCAGGAAACCUUGAGAAACUCCCAACAAAGCCAGCCCAGGAAUUUAACACUUUUAUUUUGCAGGAAAGCUCUUCCCUGUCCUUUCCCUUUUCCCUUUCCAGCCUUUAACCACCACUGCCAUCCCUCCUGCUCCAGAAGCCACUGAAAUGCAAAUUAUUUGCCCUAGAAUCCUGUUGUUAAUUAUCCCUGGAUUCUGUUCCCUCCUACCCUGUAAGCACCGGAAGGUGCUGUGUGGAAAUCGAACAUAAAAGGGAUAUUUAUGGAGGGGAAAUGUUUAUGAUAAUUAAUGUUUUAGGAUUUAGAACGUUA